GUGGGGAAUCUUGCGCAAUGGGCGAAAGCCUGACGCAGCCAUGCCGCGUGGAUGAUGAAGGUCUUAGGAUUGUAAAAUCCUUUCACCGGUGAAGAUAAUGACUGUAGCCGGAGAAGAAGCCCCGGCUAACUUCGUGCCAGCAGCCGCGGUAAUACGAAGGGGGCUAGCGUUGCUCGGAAUUACUGGGCGUAAAGGGAGCGUAGGCGGACAUUUAAGUCAGGGGUGAAAUCCCGAGGCUCAACCUCGGAACUGCCUUUGAUACUGGGUGUCUUGAGUGUGAGAGAGGUGAGUGGAACUCCGAGUGUAGAGGUGAAAUUCGUAGAUAUUCGGAAGAACACCAGUGGCGAAGGCGACUCACUGGCUCAUUACUGACGCUGAGGCGCGAAAGCGUGGGGAGCAAACAGGAUUAGAUACCCCAGUAGUCC
This 425-nucleotide ribosomal RNA is filed under the name uncultured bacterium. RNAcentral describes it as "partial 16S ribosomal RNA". It matches the Rfam family "Bacterial small subunit ribosomal RNA", at positions 354 to 796 of the family's 1533-position model. The record is from RNAcentral.